GGAAGUAUAUAGUUAUAAUAAUUAGAAAUUUUAAAUGUUCGCCUCACAUCCCAUGUACAGUGUAAAAUUCGUUGGAAGUAGAUCAACCGACAGGACUUGGUAUUACCAGCAUGACCAAUGUAAAUAUUAGUUUAAGUAGUGUAGGAGUUAAUUUGGUGAUGGUGGGAUUUGGACCAUAGGUCAACUUUUAAUGGUCAUGUGUUUUUAUCCCAAUUUGGGAGUAUUGCCUUCUUUGUAUAUUUUGUCCUUCCUUGUCGGGUUGAUGUCUUUAAAGGGGAAAUAAUCUGUGUAGCAGUAGUUAAUUGGAAAUUUAGGGCGGUAUUAAUGAAUUUGUCUUGAGGACAGUAGUUGAUUAAACAAUUUUGUGUUUUUUAAACUGGUAGUAUUUAGUAUUUAUUUUGACUAAGUAAGUCAGAGUAGGAUAAUUUUUUUUUUUCCAUAUAAGCUGUUAAGUUGUAGGUUUACCCAUUGUUCCCAUAUUGUGGAAAGGUUACUAAUCUAUUAAGUUUUGUUGUCUAGUUCCUUCAUUUUUUAGGGAAGUUUAAUGAUUUUUGAAUCCAUAUCCUAGAUUCAGGGGGUGGUUAUUUUUUAAAGAUAUCUUGUGUCAUGCUUGAGUUAGUAAAAGACGUUGCCAGUCUUAUCCAGGGGAGUUAUAAGUUCUCUAGUGUCCCUUGUCGGAACUAAAGUUCCUCCUUUUUAAGAUGGAGGGGGUGUUGUGUAAUUGCCCAGUAGUUCUAGGGGGUUUCCUCUGUCUGGUGUGAUCUACUGGUAAAGAGCAGAGAGACCCGAAUGGAGACAUGACACAAGGGUCACGCUUGACCGGAUACAGCCUCUUCUUGACCUGGAUGAUCACGAUACAAAGCCUAUCGAGAACUAGACAAGAUAAAUCCCUGUAGGAAACCAAACCUGAAGGUAAAUAUCUACACAUAUUUACACCUGUUACACACAUAA
RNAcentral lists this long non-coding RNA (951 nucleotides) under Mytilus galloprovincialis (Mediterranean mussel). Lineage: Eukaryota; Metazoa; Mollusca; Bivalvia; Mytilida; Mytilidae. The record is from RNAcentral.